This 497-nucleotide ribosomal RNA is filed under the name uncultured bacterium. Its description in RNAcentral is "partial 16S ribosomal RNA". It matches the Rfam family "Bacterial small subunit ribosomal RNA", at positions 28 to 507 of the family's 1533-position model. The record is from RNAcentral.
GAUGAACGCUGGCGGCGUGCCUAAUACAUGCAAGUCGAGCGAACAGACGAGGAGCUUGCUCCUCUGACGUUAGCGGCGGACGGGUGAGUAACACGUGGCUAACCUACCUAUAAGACUGGGAUAACUUCGGGAAACCGGAGCUAAUACCGGAUAAUAUAUUGAACCGCAUGGUUCAAUAGUGAAAGACGGUUUUGCUGUCACUUAUAGAUGGAUCCGCGCCGCAUUAGCUAGUUGGUAAGGUAACGGCUUACCAAGGCAACGAUGCGUAGCCGACCUGAGAGGGUGAUCGGCCACACUGGAACUGAGACACGGUCCAGACUCCUACGGGAGGCAGCAGUAGGGAAUCUUCCGCAAUGGGCGAAAGCCUGACGGAGCAACGCCGCGUGAGUGAUGAAGGUCUUCGGAUCGUAAAACUCUGUUAUUAGGGAAGAACAAAUGUGUAAGUAACUAUGCACGUCUUGACGGUACCUAAUCAGAAAGCCACGGCUAACUACGUG